RNAcentral lists this long non-coding RNA (1349 nucleotides) under Mus musculus (house mouse). RNAcentral's name for it is "long non-coding RNA chr7:122590934-122592283". The record is from RNAcentral. Lineage: Eukaryota; Metazoa; Chordata; Mammalia; Rodentia; Muridae.
UAGGUUAUGCACGCAGGUAGAUACACACACACACACACACACACACACACACACACACACACACACACAUACACACACACACAGAAGGAAGCACAUUCAAAGCCCUUCUUUCUCCAUCAUCUCUUAAUAAUGAAAACUAAGAGAGAACCUCAAUGUUUAUGACUAUCAAUAAAGGAGUUAGUCACUAGUACAUACCACAUUUGUGGUAUGUACACAUUUGUGUCAGGAAGUCACAUAUAACCUUGGAAAGAUCAGAGCACGUUUCUGCGAACUAACUGGAAGUCAUGUCCCUCCAUAGGGGUGAGAGUAGAAGACUUCAGUUUAAUAAUAGUAGAAAACAUCACUAUUCACUGAUUCAAGAGAGUGAGUUAAAUGUAUUUGAAAAUACAGGCAUGUUUCCAAGACAUAUUGAUAAAAGGAAAACUAAAUUCAAACAAGGCAUGGUCACAUCCACCUGCCAGCCAAGGAUUCGGGAGACUGAGGCAGGGGGAACUUGAGUUUGAGGCCAGAUUGAGUUCCCUAGCAAGACUUCUCCACAAAUGAAAUAAUAAAAAUAAGACAAAUGCAAAUGAGGAAUAACAAAAAUGAAGCGCUGUUUAUAGACAGCUUGGGACGCCGCUGUGUGUUUUCUCUGAGUAUGCAAAUGCUUGUGAAAAGGUGCAGACAGUCUGCCUGGGAAAUGACACAUGGAUUUCAAACCCUGCAGAGGCUAAGAAUGUGCCCAUCUCUCUGUGUGUCAUUGAUAGCUGUGUGUCACUGAUCCUCCUGCAGGGUAAGUAAAUGUAUUUGUGUAUCCCUGGGUGGCACACUCAGGUCAGUUAUCCUUUGGCUAAUUCUCCGUAGGAUCUGACACACCCUGACACAGUUCCCUGGGUGUGUCCUUUGUUCAAGGAGUCCCAGUUCCCAUAUCUAACUACACUCAGAGAAGUCACAGGGGAGCUUUAAAUUUUCUAGGAUGCCCAAAUGUCACCCUUUUUGACCAUUGAGUUGGAAUCCCUGUACGGUCAUGGUCUCCAACAGCUCCCGGCAGGCUGCAGGGCUACUGAGCACUCUGUGCCCUGAGCAGACAGCCUCUUCUUAAGCCCACCGCUGUCCUUGGUCAGCUUUGUUGUUAACCAAUCACACCACCUCUGGCAACUUUUCUCACCUCCCAGGCUCUAUUUUCCUUGGUAAAAGGUUUAACUUCUUGGGUUGUCAGAAGCAAAUGAAACACCAAGUGCCUUAAAGGUGUGAAGAUGCGUUCUCUGAGCUGCUUCUCACAGAGCCUGUGUCUUGCAGUCAUGUCUGUUCAGAGUACAGUUCUUAGUCAUUUAUUCUUUUGUUUCAUUAUUUGUCUAUUUUAAAUUUCC